RNAcentral lists this long non-coding RNA (331 nucleotides) under Brassica rapa (field mustard). Its description in RNAcentral is "long non-coding RNA (BRAP_LNC006323)". The record is from RNAcentral. Lineage: Eukaryota; Viridiplantae; Streptophyta; Magnoliopsida; Brassicales; Brassicaceae.
UUCACUUACUUCCUGUCCCUUGCCCACAACUUCUUCUUCUUCUCUCGUCUGGACAACUUCAGUUUCCUCAUCUCCCAUGUCGACAACUUCUGUUUCUUCCUCUCCAUUUUCCACAACUUCAGUUUCCUCCUCUCUCUUGUGGACAACUUCAGUUUCUUCCUCUCUAAUGCCGCCAAUUUCAUUUUCUUUCUUUCCCAUGACGACAACUUCGGUUUCUUUCUCUACAUUGUCAACAGCUUCAGUCUCUUCUUGCUCUCUCAUGUCGACACCUUCGGUUUCUACCUCCUUUACCAUGUCGACACCUUCAGUUUCUUCCUCUCCCAUGUCCACA